GGGCCCGCACAAGCGGUGGAUGAUGUGGAUUAAUUCGAUGCAACGCGAAAAACCUUACCUACCCUUGACAUGUCAGGAAUUUUGCAGAGAUGCGAAAGUGCUCGAAAGAGAACCUGAACACAGGUGCUGCAUGGCUGUCGUCAGCUCGUGUCGUGAGAUGUUGGGUUAAGUCCCGCAACGAGCGCAACCCUUGUCAUUAGUUGCUACGCAAGGGCACUCUAAUGAGACUGCCGGUGACAAACCGGAGGAAGGUGGGGGACGACGUCAAGUCCUCAUGGCCCUUAUGGGUAGGGGCUUCACACGUCAUACAAUGGUUGGUACAGAGGGUUGCGAACCCGCGAGGGG
This 345-nucleotide ribosomal RNA is filed under the name uncultured bacterium. RNAcentral describes it as "bacterial SSU rRNA". It matches the Rfam family "Bacterial small subunit ribosomal RNA", at positions 917 to 1264 of the family's 1533-position model. The record is from RNAcentral.